Molecule: long non-coding RNA, 1219 nt
Filed under: Citrus sinensis (sweet orange)
Lineage: Eukaryota; Viridiplantae; Streptophyta; Magnoliopsida; Sapindales; Rutaceae
Description: long non-coding RNA (CSIN_LNC002487)
Source: RNAcentral
CUAAGUGUUAAACGAAAACAGUCAUACACAGCUGCUUCUCUCGUCACUCUCUCAUUUUCUUCGUUUUUUUUCUUUUCUUUCAUUUUCUCGAGAAACCUUAACGAAAUUUUCUCAGGAACCAAACAGUUUACAAAUCCUUCGACAAACAGUUUACAAAUCCUUCGAUUCUGAAGGAAAAUGCAGUACCAGAGGUUGAAGCAGCAUCGACAGCAGCAACAAGCACUGGUGCAGCAAGCGAUUCUUCAACAAAAGUCUCUCUACCAUCCCGGCCUCUUAGCCACUCCUCAGGUCCAAUUUAUUGUUUGCAUGUUGUUUGUCGUCGCUCAUGUGAAUCAAUUAUGCCGUGAUUUCGAUUGUGUUUUCAUAAUUUCAAGAUUUGAUUUGUUCACGCUAUUUAGGGUUAGCUUGUUUGUUUUCGCUUAUGUGAAUCCAUUGUAACACCGAACGUUCUUUUUCGACGAUAUUUGUGUUGAAGAACAAAGCAAGGGGUUGUUAGAGGAGCGAGGCAGGGGCGGCUUGACGACGUAGAUCUGCUUCACCGUUUCACUUUCUCGACGCUAUUGCCCUACGAUCCUGUUCUCUGCCACGCAAGGUCAAUUUGUGUCGUUAUGUUUUUAGUAUUUUCGAAAUUUUGAUUUAAACUUUUUGAUUCAAAUGCAGUAGAUCAAAUAAUUUGUGGUUUUACAAGCUUGGCUAGUCUAAUUAAGAAGUUGUAUAUGGAUUUGUUUACAGUUUUGCAGGUCUUAAGGUUCGUUGUAGCUUUAAUUUUAAUAAUCCCUUGAAGAGUUAUGGCUUCAAAGUGUAUUUUGAAGGAACUCAAGGAUCUGCAAAAGGAUCCUCCCACAUCUUGCGCUCUGGUAUAAUUUUUUGUUACUUUUCAAUUUGAACCACAUUUUAGAUUACUUAUAUUUCGUAUCAUUUGGUGAUAGGAUUUACUUGAUCUAUAUUUUGUCAAACAAAUGGGCUAUCUAGAUGGUCAACACCAUCUUUAGUUGGAAAAGAAAACAAAAGAAGAAUGGAGAAUGAGGAGUCGCAAUCUAGAAGCUAUAAAUGUUUGAAGAAGAAAUAAGAGGCACACGGCUUUGACAAAAGAAAGAAGAAAAAAUAAUAAUAUAUAAUUGAUGAAUAGUGCCAAAGCUUUCUCUAUAAAUAGAAACGAAGAGAAUGAGCAAAUUCAAUUCCAUUUUGAGAGGCAUUCAAUUUUGUAGAGAGAGUCGAG